This 1615-nucleotide long non-coding RNA is filed under the name Anas platyrhynchos platyrhynchos (common mallard). Its description in RNAcentral is "lncRNA (ENSAPLG00000029903.1)". The record is from RNAcentral. Lineage: Eukaryota; Metazoa; Chordata; Aves; Anseriformes; Anatidae.
UCUUAUGUCUCACUGUGUUGCAGGUUAAACUGGGCUAAGACCUGUACUAGCUGCAAACCUAAAAUAAAAGAUAGAAUUGCUAACAGACAAACAAAGCAAAACAUAAAGAUAAGCAAGGGAAACAAAAUCUUUAAAAUAAAAAAAAAAAAGAAAAAAGAAAAAAAAAGAGAGAGAGAGAGAGAAAGAAACAUGACAAAGGAAGAAACAGCAGAUCUUAACAGGAAACCUAUCAGCUAGAAACUGAGACUGGAAUUUGAGGAAGGAGGAGUGCAACUUCCUUCUCAGUCACUAAGUUCUCAUUUUUCUUUUCUUUCUCAUAGUGCCGGGCUGAUUUUCUGGGCUAAAAAAAAAACCAAAGAUUUGUUUAGAGUAGUUCUGAGCUCUCAGCAGUUCUCAUGUUUUUGCCAGUGCUUCCAGUGUUCAGCAUGGAUGCCUUUGACAGCCAAAGGAUGAAUGAGCAAUAGAAAAGGUUCAGCAACUCAGUGGUGUCUUCCUCUGGAUCCAGGGACCUAAAGGGCCAAGCUUUUAUAUCACAAAACCAAAAACAGGGAUUGGUGAGCACACUGUGAUUAAAUGGAAGCAGAAAUCACCUAUGCCGAAGUGAAGUUCAAGAAUGCAUCACCAACUGAAGAGGUUGAAGUACCUCAGAAGAAGCAGCAGCAGCACGAGCAACAUACGCAGACAUGCCCUCCAUGGCUCCCGUGGCUGAUCUCACUGCUCCUGCUCCUGGUGUGCGUUGCCCUUGUUGUUGUUCUCCUAGGUGAGUAUGUGCAGGCUGGUGACCAGGAGUCGGGAGAGAGGCUUGGGGGACAUGCUGGGAUAAAGGUGGAGAAGUCUGUCAGCAGAGGGGAACUUCUUCCAACCAGAAGGGAGAUUUUACUCAGGAACUGUGUUUUCAUGAAAAAGGGUGCAAACUCUAUCAUCAGGGAGUUUUUACGGGGUUGUGGUUGGAGAAAGAUAUUUCUUAUUACCCUGUAAGCCUUCAGGAAGCCUCACCUCUGGACAACUUUCUUCACCUUCUUCCCCUACCUCUUUCUUCAUUCUUCUUAGCCUAUGGGCAACCUCAGAGGCUCACAUUUGAAUUUCUCCAUUGCGUUCACAGUUCCCCUUCUGCAUACUUGUUGCCUGUGCACAGAACUGUUGUGGAGCAAGUCUAGCUGCAUCUGCAGGCCUAACUGCACACUUGCAAACUCACACCCCUUUUAAGUGUUUUUGGUGUUUCACUGGAAUAGUUCAUAAAAAAUGAUUCUUGCACACAUACUGGAGAUUAUGAUCACUGGUUCAAUCUCAUUUUCUGCUGAGGAUCAUUCAUGGCAUGUUUACACAAGUUGUUUGAAGUUAAUUGAAGUUAAUCAAUGUUACAUAUGAUUUUGAUGUGGCAGAGGGACACAACAAUGUAUUUAAUCAAAAUACAAGCACAAAUCACAAGUAGAAAAGAGUAGCAAUUGCAAAGCACUGUUGAAUCACGAUAUAAAUGUGACCCCAUUACCAAUCUCUGCAAUCUGUCCGCCACUGCAACGCUGAGGAUCCCCAGCGACCAAAAAGGAAUAUGUGGGUUAAAGCCAGCUCAGGCUCAUUGCUCUCCUCAGAGUUGUUUUUGUUGUUCAGUUUCCUA